RNAcentral lists this ribosomal RNA (253 nucleotides) under uncultured bacterium. RNAcentral's name for it is "partial 16S ribosomal RNA". It matches the Rfam family "Bacterial small subunit ribosomal RNA", at positions 524 to 776 of the family's 1533-position model. The record is from RNAcentral.
UACGUAGGGUGCGAGCGUUAAUCGGAAUUACUGGGCGUAAAGCGUGCGCAGGCGGUUUUGUAAGACAGAUGUGAAAUCCCCGGGCUGAACCUGGGAACUGCAUUUGUGACUGCAAAGCUAGAGUACGGCAGAGGGGGGUGGAAUUCCUCGUGUAGCAGUGAAAUGCGUAGAUAUGAGGAGGAACACCGAUGGCGAAGGCAAUCCCCUGGGCCUGUACUGACGCUCAUGCACGAAAGCGUGGGGAGCAAACAGG